GAUGAACGCUGGCGGCGUGCCUAAUACAUGCAAGUCGAGCGAACAGACGAGGAGCUUGCUCCUCUGAUGUUAGCGGCGGACGGGUGAGUAACACGUGGAUAACCUACCUAUAAGACUGGGAUAACUUCGGGAAACCGGAGCUAAUACCGGAUAAUAUAUUGAACCGCAUGGUUCAAUAGUGAAAGACGGUUUUGCUGUCACUUAUAGAUGGAUCCGCGCCGCAUUAGCUAGUUGGUAAGGUAACGGCUUACCAAGGCAACGAUGCAUAGCCGACCUGAGAGGGUGAUCGGCCACACUGGAACUGAGACACGGUCCAGACUCCUACGGGAGGCAGCAGUAGGGAAUCUUCCGCAAUGGGCGAAAGCUUGACGGAGCAACGCCGCGUGAGUGAUGAAGGUCUUCGGAUCGUAAAACUCUGUUAUUAGGGAAGAACAAAUGUGUAAGUAACUAUGCACGUCUUGACGGUACCUAAUCAGAAAGCCACGGCUAACUACGUG
Molecule: ribosomal RNA, 497 nt
Filed under: uncultured bacterium
Lineage: Bacteria
Description: partial 16S ribosomal RNA
Rfam family: Bacterial small subunit ribosomal RNA
Source: RNAcentral